Molecule: long non-coding RNA, 2473 nt
Filed under: Olea europaea subsp. europaea
Lineage: Eukaryota; Viridiplantae; Streptophyta; Magnoliopsida; Lamiales; Oleaceae
Source: RNAcentral
AUUUUUUCUUCUAUUUUCCAAUUCUUUUUCUCUAUCUUUUCUUUCUUCCCACUUUUCCACUUUCCCACGUUUUUUUCUCUCUCCUUUUCUUUUCUUUUCGUUUAUUUCUUCUCAUCUCCGUUAAUCGAUUCUCGUUUCAAAUUUGAGCGGGAGGCAUCAUAAUUAAUCAUCUGUUCAUUGCAGUCCAAACUCUUUUCUCUUUUUGCCAAAAAUCUUUUCUUCCCCUUCUCCACUGAAUUGAUCUCCAUUACAAUUUUCUUGAAAUCAGACUACAAACCUGCAUUUGUUGAUUUUGGUGUUGGGUCAGGAGCCUUUUUGAUCUAUGGGCAAAGGGACUGGAAUAAAUCCAUGGCCAUGAAAGUGAUUUCUUGAUUUACUCAAGGUAUUAGUAUAUUUCUUUGAUUAUAUUUCGAAAAUAACAAUUAACAAUCUCUGUUUACCCUAUUUCAAAGCAACGCUUGUUUACGUGAAUACUGAUUAACUGCAGUUUCUUGUUCCAAAUUCUAAUUUAGUACAUGAAAUUUUGUAUUUCUCCUGAAACUUUGAUGAUUGAGUAUGAUGAUUGAUUUCAUUCUGAUUAAUCAUUGGUUAGAUUCUUGAAUCUCGACGUUUAGGGAUGCUUAUAUUUUAUGAAUGUUUUAUUUGAUAUUUUCUUUGUUUCUUGGGUACAGAAUUUGAGUUUCAACAAUGCCGUAAAAAGUAUGCUUAAUGCACGUCUUUUAUGGUACUCGUUACAUGCCAUGAUGAAUAUAGUUUUAGCCCUACGCCGUAAACAUACUAUAAAAAGUAAAUUUUGUAUGCAUCUAAAAUUUAUCUUCUUGAGUGUACUCAAUAAAUGAUAUAUUUUAGUUAAGUUGAACCCAUCAUUAAAAAAUAUCAAAUGUUUCAUAAUCUCAUGGUUCACUAUAAUGAUAGAAGUUAAAUUAUAAACCUAACUUAAUAUUUUUUAUAAAAGACCGGUUUAACGUGAAAAUAAACAUACAUAUGAUAGUGUUUUUUUUUUAAAAGACCGGUUUAAUAGAAUCUGGAAUUCUUUAAUUUUUGCCUUCAAAUUCGAACCUAAGCGAUGAAUUCUUUAUUCUUCAAUGUAUCUUCUCUCUUUUUUCUCUCUAAAGUAGGCUUUCAAUAUCAUAAGAAUUAGGUCUCCUACGUUUUGGCCGGCUCUUGGUAUAAAUAAGGUGCCAAAAAUUACACACCAAGAGUUUUCAAAACAAAAUAAGGAAACGGAAUUUUUUUACCAUAGUUGAAUCAUGUGUACGCAUGGUUCAAUUGGUGUGUAAGCAUAGUUUGCUUGAAUUAACCUCUGAAGUGAAAAUUUUCAACCAUGCGUACGCAAGGCUUGCAGGCUCAUGUGUACACGUGGUUCAAUUUUUUGAGACCAAUUUGCUUGAACUUUCUAAAGUGUGUGUUUUGAUCAUUUUCCUAAAUUUUCCUUCUGUUGACUUCUCUUCAAUUUCAAUUGACUUUUGGUGUUUUCUGAUCAUCGUCUUGCAAUUCAACUCAACUUUUGAAUUAUUACAUUUUAGUCCCCAAACUUUAAAUUUGCUUCAUUUUAGCCCUUUUCCAUUUUUUCUUUCAAUUCUUCUUUGAAACAUGAAUUUUUCCUAAUAAAAACAAUAAAUAAUAAAUUAGUUAUUAAUCUGUCCAAAAAAUAACAAAAUAUCACCAUUUAGGAUUCCAAAUAAGUAUAGAAACUACACUUAUCACUAUUCAAUCAUUCUUUUGGUUAGCCUGUUUUCAUUUUCCACGCAACACGUAUUUUUCCCUUUCGCCAAUCCAUUUUGGUCACCCCUCAUCCGACCUUUUCUAUAUCUUCAUUGCAUGUAUAGUGCGUUUUUAUGCACUUAUUUAGUUCACAAAUAUAAUUAAAUUAUUAGUGAAGUGUUUGAUUUGUGGCUUAAUUUCGUUUGAUUUGUGUAUUGUAGGCUAUAUUGAUAGACAUGGUGGAAUCCACAAGAAAAGAUUCGAUAAAGGGCUAAAACAAAGCAAAGAGAAAAUUUAGGGACCAAAGCACAAAUACCCAAAAGAUGAACCGAAGGGGGAGUCAAGCAAUUGAUUAAGCUAAGUACCAAUCAGAUGGCAUAAUGGAGUAAUGGAAUGACAAGAAACAAGAAAUUAGGUCAAAAUGGAAGAAAAUAAAGUUUGAGGACCAAAACAGGAAAAAAAUGGAAGUUUGUACUACUAUGUGGUCGCAUAGUGGUACUAGCCAUGCAGUCGCAUGACCCAUGGCAGGGAAUCUAGUGGCCUAUUUUUGCUUAACUAUGCGGUCGCAUAGGUUAAAGCUAUGUGGCUGUAUAGCUCAUUUUCGAGGCAAAAUUUUUGGUUUCCUGUUUUCGAUGAAAUUCUUCUGGAACUUGUUCGGAACGCGAGAUAAAAAUCUAGAGCAGUCAUAUUUUAAAAAAAAUGCAUUGGGAGGCAAGAAAACACAUCUUGGAGCGAAUUUGAAGUGACAACAACGAAGGAUUUUACGAAG